UACGUAGGGUGCAAGCGUUGUCCGGAAUUAUUGGGCGUAAAGAGCUCGUAGGCGGUCUGUCGCGUCUGCUGUGAAAACUCAGGGCUUAACCCUGAGCUUGCAGUGGGUACGGGCAGACUAGAGUGCGGUAGGGGAGACUGGAAUUCCUGGUGUAGCGGUGAAAUGCGCAGAUAUCAGGAGGAACACCGGUGGCGAAGGCGGGUCUCUGGGCCGUAACUGACGCUCAGGUGCGAAAGCUAGGGGAGCGAACAGG
Molecule: ribosomal RNA, 253 nt
Filed under: uncultured bacterium
Lineage: Bacteria
Description: partial 16S ribosomal RNA
Rfam family: Bacterial small subunit ribosomal RNA
Source: RNAcentral